This 496-nucleotide ribosomal RNA is filed under the name uncultured delta proteobacterium. RNAcentral's name for it is "bacterial SSU rRNA". It matches the Rfam family "Bacterial small subunit ribosomal RNA", at positions 41 to 524 of the family's 1533-position model. The record is from RNAcentral. Lineage: Bacteria; Deltaproteobacteria.
GGCAUGCUUUACACAUGCAAGUGGGACGGCAGCAUAAAAGAGCUUGCUCUUUUGAUGGCGAGUGGCGAACGGGUGAGUAAUGCAUCGGGACGUACCGAGUAGUGGGGGAUAACUGUCCGAAAGGAUGGCUAAUACCGCAUAUUCUCUGAGGAGGAAAGCAGGGGACCUUAGGGCCUUGCGAUAUUUGAGCGGCCGAUGUCUGAUUAGCUAGUUGGUGGGGUAAGAGCCCACCAAGGCGACGAUCAGUAGCGGGUCUGAGAGGAUGAUCCGCCACACUGGGAAUGAGACACGGCCCAGACUCCUACGGGAGGCAGCAGUGGGGAAUUUUGGACAAUGGGCGCAAGCCUGAUCCAGCCAUGCCGCGUGUAUGAAGAAGGCCUUCGGGUUGUAAAGUACUUUUGUCAGGGAAGAAAAGCCUGAGGAUAACACGGGUCAGGUCAUGACGGUACCUGAAGAAUAAGCACCGGCUUUAUGGCGUGCCAGCAGCCGCGGUAAU